Molecule: long non-coding RNA, 172 nt
Organism: Octopus sinensis (East Asian common octopus)
Lineage: Eukaryota; Metazoa; Mollusca; Cephalopoda; Octopoda; Octopodidae
Exons: 2
Source: RefSeq, a predicted model, not a curated record
GUAUUUCGUCUGCCGCUACGUUCUGAGUUCAAAUUCCGCCGAGGUCGACUUUGCCUUUCAUCCUUUCGUGGGUCGAUAAAUCAAGUACCAGUUGCAUACUGUGGUCGAUCUAACCGACUGCUCUCCCCCUCCCAAUUUUGGGCCUUGUGAUUGAGUAGGAAAAAGAAAAGAA